Molecule: non-coding RNA, 28 nt
Filed under: Homo sapiens (human)
Lineage: Eukaryota; Metazoa; Chordata; Mammalia; Primates; Hominidae
Source: RNAcentral
UCACCUGGAUACGCUUUGGAUGAAGCCA